Molecule: long non-coding RNA, 4093 nt
Organism: Astatotilapia calliptera (eastern happy)
Lineage: Eukaryota; Metazoa; Chordata; Actinopteri; Cichliformes; Cichlidae
Source: Ensembl
CGUGUAGUUUUAGAUAUCUGACAUUUAAAUCGUGCAUAAAUGAUCAGUAUUCAGGUUCAGAUGUACUUAAUUGUAAAAUAGUUUUACAUCAGAUUGCUUCAUAUUUGUUUGUGGCACCUGAGAGUCCUCAAAAGUUACACACAAAUCAUUGCACACAUUUCUAAAUCUUUGUUUACGCUCAUGAAUAAUAUCAUACUCGUUUGCAAUUCUUCUGAGGUAAAUUCUCUCCAUACUUUCUCAUUGUUUUCUCUCAGCCUUUCAGCUCCACUUUUCUGGGUGAGCGCACAGCAAAGGUAGAGAUGGGGCCGGUCACAUUAAGACAGUUGAUUAUGCAAUACAGUGUCAGAAAUGAAAAUCAACAAAUGGGCUGCUGCCAUUGCUUGCACGGCUGGUGCGCAGUAGGGCUGCCACGAUUUGUCGACUAGUCACGAUUACGUCGACUAUCAAAAUCGUCGACGACUGAUUUAAUAGUCGACGCGUCGUUUGAAGCUUUGUAAGAUCGCAAAAGACGCAGGAAUAAUAGCAGGAUUUAAGAGUGUAAUAACGGACUGAAACAGAAGAUGGCAGCACUGCAUGUACAAGGAUGCCAGCUGCCGUUAAACCCCGAAGAAGAAGAAGCAGCUGUGUCCCAGAAUUCAUAGCGCGGCCCAGCUUAGUUUCCAACAAUGGCGGUAGCUAGUUAGUUUUAAUAUUACUCUUAUUAUUCUUUCUGGGUCACAAAAUAAACGUUUAACAUAUUUUCAGGCGAGAAUGUAGCUGUGUAAACCUCAAAUAUCGGCUCAGUUUAUCAGGACACCACAUAUUUUCAAAAGCGCUCCGACAUUUUCGGAGACGUCUGUUACCCACUAGCUCGAUAGCUAGCCGGGGGCUAGGUCACUAGCGCUGUGAGAACACCGGACUCCAGGCAAAUUGUUUUCAAACCCACCGCCGUCUUUCGCUACUCAGGUUAAAUAUAUAUGAGUCACUUAGAUAAAUUAAAAAUGUUGUUGUUUGGCUUUUUUUUUUUUUAGUAUUUUAUUUGUUCUUGAGUAAAUCAGUUUGUCUGAGAUUAAAGUUAUAGUUUUUACACAGCUGAAUAAACGUCAAGCAGACAGCUGAUUAUCAGAAGUGUGAGAUGCUCCAGAAUAUACUCCAGUGUCCUGUUAUAUUUUAGAUAGCAAGGAGUUUAUUAAACUUCACCGAAACAAUCUGCAAAUUUCAUUAAAAUUGAAUAAACUAUCAUCUUGUCUUUAUUUUUAGUUAGCACCUUAAAAGCUUAAAGCUGUAAGCUAAUGAUAGUUAUGUAAGAGCAGAUGCUGCUGGUGCAAUAAGCUGUAGUUUUACGUCCAGUGGAUGAUGAUCUGAUUAGUCGACUAAUCGCAUAAAUAAUCGGUGACUAGUCGACUAUCAAAAUAAUCGUUUGUGGCAGCCCUAGUGCGCAGUGAAAAUAACUGGUUUGUUAGAUUACCACAUAACAAAAAACCCCUCAAUUCUUAGGAAAUAGAUUCAUUUCUUUGUACUAAAAGAAGAUCAGUUGUACCUUUCAGCCUCUCUUCUCUUUGGUGAUAUUCAUCCGUAUCAGCUGACAUCUUCUGUUCUCACUGCUGAGCAGACUGCAGCUCAUCACUCUCUGCACAAGAAAAGCCACAAAAAAUCAAUCAGGUUGGAAAAAACAACCAAAAAGAAGAGUUUCAUUAAUAAUGAGGUCUUUAUUUCCUGUGUAGAAUUGCAAAGAUAUUUCUUGGAAACUAACUGGCAGAAGGUCUCAGCAGCGCUGUGGGCCACUGUGGAUAUUGUGGACAAACUCACGACCAUAUUUGUUGUUAGCGCCACAAGAAUUAGGAAACACACACUUUGCCAAAAACUACAAAACAGAGCUAUAUAUUUGCUGUAUAUAUUGUCUCAUGCUAUUUGCACACCAUCAAGUAAGAUCCCAGAAUCAGGUCUGAAGAACAGUCAGGAGAUCAGGGGUCAGUUAUGACUAUACAUGUGUGAUAUGCAUGAGUAAGCAAUAGUGUCCUCCAAAGAUCAAAUGACAUCCACCUCUGAUUCAUUAAGUUCAACACAGCAUAAUUAGACACAUUCAAACACACGGAAACACAUAAAGACUCAUGCAUCAUCAUCGACUGGAAGCUUGGUGAUUUGAUUACAGAAAGUAUCCUUGCCCAGUGGGCCGAUGUUUUUAUGGGCCGAUGGAUUUUUUUUUUUUUUUUUUUUUUUUUAGGAAGGGUAUAUAUAAUGAAAGGUGUUGGAUUGGCCAAUUGGUCAUGAUCGACUCUGGGCUGGACCAAUUACAGCCGAGGAGGCCGGAUGGACCCUCCCCCUUGUUUAGCAAUCACGUUUUCGCGCAUUGCAUGCCGGGAACUAGUGGCAAAACAAUCCAAGUACCGCAUCAAAUGCAAGCAUUUGCAGCACCGCAAAACGUUCAUUCUCCGGUUCCAAUACCUUCUUGCUUUUUCUUUGGCGCACAAAAAAGGUAUGUACAAAACAAAAGGAGAACAAUGCCGGUCCGUACAAAGACAGACUCGACGAAAAGACAAAGAAAAGAUGCGAGGAAAAAUCAAAGGAGUGAAAGGGUCAGACCCUUAGGAGCACACAGAGUGGACAAAAGACGUUAGCGUGUUGCCCAACUUUCACCACGCUCAGAUUUAUAAUUAUACGGUUCUUGGAGUGAGUGCAUACACUCAUGAAGUUUAGUAACUUCAGGUCACUGCAACAAGCCCAGGUACAGUUUACCGACGGAUGGGUGCAGGACCUUGAAAUGCACCGUGUAGAACGAAAGACCAUCGUACGAACAAAGGUAAGUUUACCAGUCUCACAAAUCGUCGUCAUAAAUACACAUUCGUUAACCGUUUAUUAAUAUAACCUUUGAGCUCAACGGUAAUUAAUUAGUAGUGGAAAUAAUCUCUGGUAGCAUCACAGAAAUGUAGCAGUGACAAUAAUAUUGUAUGUUGUAAUCGUACUGGGCAAUUAGUGAUACAAAACAACUGUUUUAUUCUGUGAAUAAAAGUAUAUGUUUUUGUCAAUGUACCUGUUACGCCCCUAGUCUAGGUGGGUAGGGACGCACAUAAGGUUGGAGGAGAGAGAGACAAAUCCCCGCCCUGGUUCCCAAGCCAAACAUCCAAACCAGUUGUGAGUAAAAAAAAGUGAUUUUAUUUAAGGACAAGAAGCAUAGCUCCAGGGUGAGCCCAGGCCAAAAUAAUAAACAAAACCAACUAAGUCCGACCAGAAAAGACUAACUAAACCCUAAGAAAGAAAAAAGAACAAACAAAUGCCAGAGCUAUCCCUCGCUCCCUGACCAAGAAAACAGGAGAAAACGAUUCCAAAAGAAAAGGCAGCUCACCCCUUCCGCUUCAGCCCACGAGUGCCUAAGCUCUCAGCUAAUGCACUAGGAGCGGCUUUUACAAUUCACACUCCCACAAAUACACAAGAUAAACACAGGCUGGGAAAACCAGGGUCAGGACUGCGAUGGCUCCACACUCUCUCUCUCUCUCUUUAAGUUAACACAAACUCGUCGGCAAGGACCGCGGCUUUAGACAGUAACCCAACCUUCUGCUCAUUAAGAUACACGACAAUGUUUUCAGGGAGACAUGUCUUGAACUCUUCCAGCAGGAUCAACUCCUUUAGCUGAGUUAAGUCCUCCGCGUGACUGGCAGCCACCCACUUGUCAAAUAAGACAGUUUUCUCACGUGCAAAUUCCACAAACGUUUGACUAUCAAGCUUGCGACAGGCACGAAACUUCUGUCGAUACGCCCCUGGGACAAGUUCAUAAGCCCGCAAAAUAGUGGAUUUGACAACCUCAUAAUCCAAGCUGUCCGCAACAGAAAGACUCGCACAGACCUCCUGCGCUCUUCCUAUUAAUUUGCAUUGCAGCAACAGACUCCAGACGUCCUUUGGCCAUUUUAAAGUGGUUGCGAUGCGCUCAAAAGCAGUGAAAUAUGAGUCAACCUCUCCUUCCCUAAAAGGAGGUACCAAAACAAUCUGUUUGCUAGCGUUAAACUGGUCUAUGGUGGGAGUGUCGGGGAGUGUACUUACAGGAACGGGAGCAGCGUCACUCGCUCGAGAACGAUCAAGCUCCAUAGCUCGAAUGCGGAGAUGCAUGAGCUCGACUUCC